Long non-coding RNA from Xiphophorus hellerii (green swordtail), 306 nucleotides. RefSeq lists it as uncharacterized. The transcript has 2 exons. The record is from RefSeq and is a predicted model, not a curated record. Lineage: Eukaryota; Metazoa; Chordata; Actinopteri; Cyprinodontiformes; Poeciliidae.
UUAAAAUAAUUACCCAAAGUCUCAAUUCAAAACACAAGUUGACACAGUUAAAAAUACCAAUAAAGCUUGAGCAAAAUCAAAUCUCAGUUGGGUUGAAGACCAAUGGGUAAAAAUAACUUUUUAAACGGGUUUUAAAAGUGGACAGUUAAAGGGUCUCUGGAGAUGUGGAAGUGAGGACUGGUUGACUCUGAAAUGGAGGGAAUUAUGGUAAUCCAACAGUGAUGAAAUGAAGGCAUGGAUUACCAUUUCAAACUGUUCCCUUGUAAGAACAGAUUUUAUCUUUGCUAAUUUCCAUAAAUUAUAAAA